GGUUGAUUCUAGUGUGGUGUUGUUGUGUGUUUGUGUUGUGUGGUGUGUUGUUUGGUGGUUGUUUUGUGGUGUUGUGGUGUGUGGUGUGUGGGUUUGUUGUGUUGGGUUCUAUGUGUGCCAGCUGACCUGCGGCCACUCAGUAGUUCGUAUCUCUAUCUUAUAACAGAGUAGGUCCUUCUGAUGGUACACGUGUAGGCUAUCAUAUAACGUGGAUCCCUGUAAUCAUAGUCCCGUCUAACGACAUCCUAGUGCUGUGUGUGUGCUAUAGAGAGAACGUAUAAGGCAUCCGUACACACGUACUCAUGGUUAUAACAAGCAUCCGUAUCCAUAACUUGACCUGUUACCAUAUGACCCACAUGGUCUGAUGGUAAGUCCUCG
This 378-nucleotide ribosomal RNA is filed under the name Sulcionema specki. Its description in RNAcentral is "small subunit ribosomal RNA". The record is from RNAcentral. Lineage: Eukaryota; Euglenozoa; Diplonemea; Diplonemida; Diplonemidae.